Molecule: ribosomal RNA, 361 nt
Filed under: uncultured bacterium
Lineage: Bacteria
Description: bacterial SSU rRNA
Rfam family: Bacterial small subunit ribosomal RNA
Source: RNAcentral
AACGAACGCUGGCGGCAUGCCUAACACAUGCAAGUCGAACGCCUGUAGCAAUACAGGAGUGGCAGACGGGUGCAUAACACGUGGGAACCUACCCUUGGGUUCGGAAUAACCGCGGGAAACUGCGGCUAAUACCGGAUACGUCCUCUGGGAGAAAGAUUCAUCGCCCUUGGAGGGGCCCGCGUCGGAUUAGCUAGUUGGUGAGGUAACGGCUCACCAAGGCGACGAUCCGUAGCUGAUCUGAGAGGAUGAUCAGCCACACUGGAACUGAGACACGGUCCAGACUCCUACGGGAGGCAGCAGUGGGGAAUAUUGGACAAUGGGCGCAAGCCUGAUCCAGCAAUGCCGCGUGGGUGAUGAAGGC